ACCCUGCAUGGAGCUGGUGUCCCUCCUGCAGAAGCCUACUCCUCUGCUUGGCCUUUAGAGACACAGUUUGAGGAAGCUCCAGGUCCACAUACCCCUGAUCCACAGAACCAUCAGCAGAGAACACUCUUCCACGCACUGAGGGGAAUGCAUUACCACCAACACUUAGUGAUCCAGACCACUCUCAGAGGAAGAAGAGGUAUCUUUUGGUGUCAGUACAGUGAGACCUUCUUCUAAAAGGUAAAGCAGCACAGAAAAGAAGACCCUGGCAGCAGCACAUGAAUCGGUUCGUUUAAAGGCUGAACCAGGAGUUCUCAAGAACCGUGACUGGCAGACCUUAAAGUUUUAUGUCUAUAACAGCAAAGCUGGUACUCCAGCCAUGUUAUAUGUUUGUUGAAUGCAAUUUCUAUGUUUACUUGUUAAUUUACAAAGCAGUUUCUGAAGUGCUUGUAUGGUUUAUACCUCAGUCUGCUGAUGAAUGUCAAAUUUGAGACUAGCUGGGUUAGCUGGGUUAAUUCUAAAGUUCAUUCAUGCUUUUAAACUUUGACUUUGAUGUCCUGAUUUAUUUUGUAUAAAUACUCCUUAUAUUAGACCUUAUAAUGUCUGCUUUAGCAUUAUCAAUUCUUAUUAAAAACUCUUCUAUAUUACCAAAAAACAAUGCCAACUAGCAACUUUUCCAAUGAAAAGGGUUGAGAACCAUUUUGUUUCAGCUAGAUACUAGUAAAUGUGACAGCAGUGGAUGUAUAUGCUUUAACAUUUUUGUAGUGAAACCUCUAAUACUCUGAGAACAGGUGUGUUUUAAUAAUUGGAGGAUUAUUUCAUUAUGUCCCCAUAAACCACAUAGUAAUGUGUGAGUUAUGCAAAUCAUAUUUAAA
Molecule: long non-coding RNA, 872 nt
Organism: Notolabrus celidotus (New Zealand spotty)
Lineage: Eukaryota; Metazoa; Chordata; Actinopteri; Labriformes; Labridae
Exons: 3
Source: RefSeq, a predicted model, not a curated record